This 609-nucleotide long non-coding RNA is filed under the name Mytilus galloprovincialis (Mediterranean mussel). The record is from RNAcentral. Lineage: Eukaryota; Metazoa; Mollusca; Bivalvia; Mytilida; Mytilidae.
UGAUAAACUAAAUCAAGAGUUUUUUUUCUCAAGGUCACAUGCUGAAUUUCGCUUGUACAUUUACCCACAAAGGACUUCCCUAAAAUGAAAUGAAUAGUCUUUUCAUUCUUCAAAGUAGGAAGUUACAAACUAUAGUAAUUACAAGUUAAUUGGGAAUCAACAGUGGUUAGUAUAAAAAAGAAGAUGUUGUAUGAUUUCCAAUGAGACAACUAUCCACAAAAGACAAAAAUGACACAGACAUUAAUAACGAUAGGUCACCGUACGGCCUUCAACAAUGAGCAAAGCCCAUACCGCAUAGUCAGCUAUGUAUGCUUCAGAUGUUUUAUUGAAAAUGUAAAAGUAUACAAGUGUACAUAAACAUGUCCUUGAUAAGUACUGUUCGUAGAUCGAUGUAUCAAACAAGUAUCCUUAAAAAAAUCUAUUUGAAUUCUUGAUUUGUAGUCAGCUAAUUCAUUAUGUAUAAUCGAAUUUUCGUGGGGGAAAAAUCCCGAUUUACAAGAAUUUACGUCUACAACUUAACAAUAUUUUAGUUUCGGUACAAUAUCUCCAAAAACAUGUUUCUAUAAAUAGACUAAACACAUAGCUCACGUAUGCAUAUUUCAAGAACCC